This 777-nucleotide long non-coding RNA is filed under the name Anthonomus grandis grandis. RNAcentral describes it as "uncharacterized LOC126737279". Lineage: Eukaryota; Metazoa; Arthropoda; Insecta; Coleoptera; Curculionidae. The record is from RNAcentral.
CGCAUUCGGGAAUCGCAACUCGAUGCCUGUCACGCUACCUCACUCGAUCAAUCAAGUGCGACAGCGCAUCUGUCAUACUUGAUUGGUCGAUAUUUCAUAUGAUCUGCAUUAAUUUACAUAAUGUAAGUCAUGGUUUAAUUCAAACAAUUCAAACUCGCGCCACUCCCACUUCGGUGUUUGAUUAUUUGGAGAUACGCUACACUGCAACUUGGUGGAGAUGAAGCAAGUGAAAGGAAGUUGCAAUUUACGAGAGUUUAAAAAUUCAGAGAUUGGAGGGACACUGACUUUGAAUGAGGUCUCUUUAAGAAAAAUGGACUACUUUUUUGAAUUACGAGAGUUUACUGUACACUUAUCGCAAGAAAAUCUACAGCAUAAAGGAACAAUGAAAGUAAAUUUAGUUUUGGCGGAACAUUAUAAUUAGUGUUAACCAAUCGAUAAACGAACACCGCAUCUGUUAAUUGCCGUCUAUCAGAGAGUGAGAAGAGGUAAAAACUAAGUUUAUGGGUUUCAAUGGUCAGCCGUAUAAUGAUGCUGCACUGCAAAUAUAUAUUCAAAAUAGUUGAAUAGAAGUCCAUAUUCUGUAGAAGAAUGUGUAUAUAAAGAUUACAAAAUGGGAGUCUUUAUCUCCAAGAAAAAUGCAUGUAGGUCAUCUGGAAUUUUGAAUGUAUAAACUGCCAAAAUUACUAUCUUACUAUAUUAUACCUUAGCUUUCAGAAUAUUAUUUUUAUUUCGGAUUUAUUCACAUUGUUUUGCUAAAAUAAAUAUCAAUUAAAUUAA